RNAcentral lists this small nucleolar RNA (138 nucleotides) under Ornithorhynchus anatinus (platypus). Lineage: Eukaryota; Metazoa; Chordata; Mammalia; Monotremata; Ornithorhynchidae. The record is from RNAcentral.
CUCCUCUCAGGAUUGCAUCUGGAGAGUUUCCAGGACUCUACCAGUCUCGGCUAAGAGAGGCAGAGUCAAGCAGAGGCCUGUCCAUUCCAUUUCCAGUUUGGGCAGUGGCUAGUGAGUGGAAGGCAAUCUGCUACGAGU